RNAcentral lists this ribosomal RNA (223 nucleotides) under uncultured bacterium. RNAcentral describes it as "partial 16S ribosomal RNA". It matches the Rfam family "Bacterial small subunit ribosomal RNA", at positions 328 to 539 of the family's 1533-position model. The record is from RNAcentral.
ACGCUCGACACCUACAGGAGGCAGCAGUAGGGAAUCUUCCACAAUGGACGCAAGUCUGAUGGAGCAACGCCGCGUGAGUGAAGAAGGUCUUCGGAUCGUAAAACUCUGUUGUUAGAGAAGAACACGAGUGAGAGUAACUGUUCAUUCGAUGACGGUAUCUAACCAGCAAGUCACGGCUAACUACGUGCUAGCAGCCGCGGUAAUCUGAGCGGGCUGGCAAGGC